This 119-nucleotide small RNA is filed under the name Streptomyces mobaraensis. Its description in RNAcentral is "Streptomyces-metK RNA". It matches the Rfam family "Streptomyces-metK RNA". Lineage: Bacteria; Bacillati; Actinomycetota; Actinomycetes; Kitasatosporales; Streptomycetaceae. The record is from Rfam by way of RNAcentral.
GCUGGACAGGAGGUCCGCAGGGAGCAAAGGCCGGAUAAACUGACACCGGUCCGUGCACGAGCGCAGCUCUCGUCCGGAACCGCCAAUGAUCAGCCAGCAGCCGCUGCAACCCCAGGGAG